AGACUGAAGGAGUUGUUGGCCUUUCUGUUUAGAAUGUCAUGAUACUAAUUCCUUUAGCUCGAGUUUCUUAAAUGUGGUUCUGGACUGUUCCCCCCCCCCUUUUUUUUUUGAAGGCAAGUUUCGCACUAGGAGGGUGUAAAGAAUUCUGAGAAAGUUGGCAAGAGUUGAAAAGGAGAGCGGAAAGAGUAAGGGGAUUAAAGAGAAUGUGGGUGUGUUUUCCGUUAACGCGAUCAUCAACAGAGACAGAAUUACCUUGAGUAGUGAGCAGUGAGGGAUGGAUGGGUCAGGAUUCUCUCCCCGACGAAAGAGGAAAGAAAGCAGACAAAAACUAACCGCAUGGUUGGUAAACUGAUUUUCAUUUUGAUAAAUAUUUAUGAAUAAAUAACUUUAUAUGAAAAAAAAACUGCAUGGUUUGAGAACCUUCUCUCUCCUUGUAUUGCCUUGAGACAAUCACAUUUCCUGUCCCUUGUCCCCUCUCUGACCACAGAUGGGCAACUGACCAGAGGCCUUGACAGUGUCCACUGAUGUGGCGUAAGAAGGUGAUCUGGACCACGCUGACGUCCCCCUUCCUCCUCCUAGGCAUUCGAAGUAAGGAAUGUCCAGAGCAUCUGUUCCGUCCAUGAUGGGAAGAGCAGCCAUCCUGACGGGUCUGAGGUGAAGCAAAUUCUUAAAGCUCCCACACUUUGGAGCCCAGCAGAGGCCUGGAGAUGUUUUUCUCCAAGACCAGGUAAGGAAUCAUGGGUUUGUUCUAAAUUUUCAAGGAGACAGAGUUCUUAGGAAAUAUUUCUUCAAGGAGCAGGUGCUCGGGUUU
Molecule: long non-coding RNA, 811 nt
Filed under: Ailuropoda melanoleuca (giant panda)
Lineage: Eukaryota; Metazoa; Chordata; Mammalia; Carnivora; Ursidae
Description: lncRNA (ENSAMEG00000028393.1)
Source: RNAcentral